AUGACUUUUGAUUUAAGAGAAUUGAGCACAUUAUUUUGUGUUCAGUAUUUAACUCUCACCAUCCAAAUUUUCAUAAUACGGCCCAGGUGUAAAAGAAACCCUUAUCUCGGACAUGCCCUUUCCAUCACAGAGUGGAGACAGUAUGGGCAAAACCACCUGGUGAUUCUUGGAUACAGUGAAGUCACAUUACAAAAGCUAAUGACAAUGAUUUGAGGAAAUUGAAUUCUCACAGGGAAGAACAGUGAAUAUUUAAGAAUGAUGAGACAUUCUACCGCAUUUGACUCUGUCGAUCACAAAUAUUCACUUCCCUCUUUGCUGCGUACAAGACAUAUUUACCCCUCUCUCAGGGAGACAGGCCAAAGGCCACAUGAAGUCAGCCACUGUGCUCAACUUCCAGGAUGCGAUGACAAUUUCUAUACUUUAGAGUCACAACUGCCUUCUCUAAAUUCAGACAGUUGAUUUGUCUAAUGUACACACCUUACAAUUACUAGAGAAACAGGGAAAAAACAAUAUAAAAAACACUAUCAUUCAGAAAGGAUAGGAAUUGGGAAUACACAGCAAACACUGUCAAUAUCAAGUCUAAAAUAGAACUUGAUAAGCAAUGCAGGGGCCCCUCACUCUGUAGCUCUGGAAACCCUCUUAACUGGCUCCCAGUUAUGUUUCUUGAGAAUAAGACCCAGCCACUUUUAUUUCGUGGCUCUUGAGUCACAAUCUAAGAGGUCUCUGCUUUUCUAUUAUUUUACUUUGCCAUAUCCAAAAAUGUUCUAAAGAAGUUUUAAAGAACAUUAAAAAAAUAAAACUUCCUUGGGACUAAGUUUAUUUCUCAGCCUUCUUUUUUCUUUUUUCUUUUUUUUUUUUUUUUUUUGUCUAUAGACUGUGGGAGCAGAAAACUGAUUUACAUUCAAUCUCUCCUACCCAGGCUAACUACUUAAAAACAUGAUCCUCUUUUAACAUGCUAGAUUCUUUCUUGUAUGAUGUCAAUAGUCUUACUCACUAUUAUUUUUAAGUACUUAUUUACACUUACUUACAGAUACUUUAAACUUAAGAGAUUUUUAAGGCAGAGCUAUGUCCUUCUGAAAAAGUCCUACACCCAACAGAAAUUACAUACUUAAUGUUAAGAUAUUGAGUUAAUAGUUUCAGAUGUUGAAACAAAUGAUAUGGUAGCAACAUCACUGGCAGGUUCUUGCUGCAAAAUGGUGUUCAUAUACCUCAAAGAAUGACUAAACUGUACUUUUAACUUAGGGGAGAUGAGAUGUGGUUGCAUCUUCAACUCUAAUUCCCAUUUGUUUGUGGAUUUUCUCUAUUCCCAUCCACACCAAACACCAAAUAGGCCAAUUCAUUUAUCAGUUUCUUUAUUAUAGGUCAUAGCAAACAGAUUAAUUCCAAAUUCACAUUCAUAAAGCCACAGACACUUUUGGUAUCUUAUUUACCUUUCAGAUUAUCUCAGGUGACAACUUUACCGAAAUUUUCACUACUGCAGCAUAACCUAAGCUGUUGCUGCUAUAUUUUUACUUCAAAGGAAGUCUACAGGUCAAGAAAUAAAUUUCUCUUAAAUGGAGGGGCCGUGAAUAGUCAUUAAAAAAUCUACCAAGUGUACAUAAAACAUUCAACAUAUUCUAUAGACAAUUUUAAUUAUAUAACUAAGUUUAACAAUGUUGAUGGAGCAAUGGUAAUCUGUAAAAUUAAAUGAAUUUCUAAUAUCAUUAUAUCAAAACUAUGCUAUGCAUAAAUAAUAUGUAAAUAUUAUCUACCUCUAUAUUAUAUAAAAUUGAAAGCAACAUAGAACUACACAAAUACUUGACAAUGAAUCUAAUGAAGGAAGCAUAACAUACACAAAAGAAACAAUAAAAUCUUAUUGAUAAAAAUUUACAUGGAGGCUAGGACUUCCAUAUCUCUUUGUUAUUUAACCUAAAGCAAUACUUCUGGCCAGCCCUCCAACCCUAAUUUUGUGUACUUUUAAAGCAUUCACAGUCAGUUUGAGAUGUUGCUUUUAAAUACACUUAUUUAAAAACCCCAGAGACAAACAUUACAAAGCUGGAAUGCAUUGAAACAGUGGUUCUUAAUGAAACUGUUUUUGAAGGUCAUCCAUGUAGUGAUGGUCUUACAGGACAUUGUCUGUAGACAGAAUAAAUAAUAUAUCUGACCUAUGUGAUUUCUUCUGUUUUUCAAAUGUAAAUAAAUUAUCCUGUGAUUAACACAAUAUGAACUGAUUUUACAAUGUCUCUGUAUACAUAGUAACUUUUAUCCAUACUGAUUUUCAUAUAUAGUAGAGACUUUGCAAAAUUAUAUUAUGGGGGAUUAGGUUAAGCAAAAUAUUUUGAUUAUUAAAAAGCAGACAUACUCAUAUCCUUAGAAAGUGUAUUAGGAAAUAGAAUCAGACUUGUGCAUUAUUUUUCUCAUUAGCACGUGCACCAGUCUUCUAUCUGAUGCUACUGUUCUGCCUACUGUCUCAAAGGAAGGUGUCUCUGUUGCUGUCUAUUUUAGUUGCUUUACCAAAGUGAAUUACAUAGAAGCUUCAUUAGUGAUGUUUGAAUCUGGCCACUAAGGAUGCUUUAUUUAUUCAUAUGAUCCCAGUGCACUUCCAAGAGAUGGAGCAGAAAUAAUAAAUAUUUUGGGAAUAGAAAAGCUAACUCUCUGCUCUUCUGAAAUCAGAAGAAACUCUGUUGCCUUCCUCCCUUACAUCACAUUUUCUUACCAUUAUGACAGAGUCCAAGGAAAAUAUUUUCCAAGUGUAAAAUAAGAGAGUUUCUAAAAAGAGUGUUUAUUGUAAUGUGAACAUGCAAAACUAGGAGACCUCAAGAUCCUUCAGGAGAUACCUGAAGAUUGAUGAUCAAGUUAAACCAGUACAAAGUUACAUCUUCCUUAACACAACACAGUUCAACCCACUAGGGAGCUGCCACCUGAAACGUGAAAAAUGAUCAAAAGAGUAAGUAUUUUAAUGUAGGUAUGACAAUUCCUUUCUCAUAUGAGAGAUAAGAGAAAGAAAUUAUUGCUGGAGUAGUCUUCUGUAAUUUUGUUAAGCUUGUUUCAAAUUUUUAAUAUGGAAAACUGUAGUGAACAUGUUUUUAAACUAUUAACAGAUCUUUGACAACACUAAACAUCAUAGCUAGGGCAUAUUUAUGCAUUCCUACAUAGUCACACAUGCAGUUUGUGGUCACUCAUAAAAUAUAAAAGACACACAGAAAUAUGCCUUCCAAAUCCUUGGGAUAUAUACAAAAAAAAGCAUAUUACAUUGCUUAUAAUGUUAGCUUUUUUCUAAAUUGUAAAUAUUCUCUUAUGGUUAAAUGUCUAGCCAGAAAUAAGUCAAUCCCUCAUAUUUAUUAGUUCAACAAAAAUGCUCCCUUAAUGUCUAAGUGACACUAAGACUGAGAGGCCUUUGUGUUGCUGCUCAUGAUGCACUGCACCGCACAAGAUGAUCAAGGCGUAGAAGACUAUUUCACCAAGAAAGCUUUUGCCUAGU
This 3460-nucleotide long non-coding RNA is filed under the name Macaca fascicularis (crab-eating macaque). Its description in RNAcentral is "lncRNA (ENSMFAG00000052420.1)". Lineage: Eukaryota; Metazoa; Chordata; Mammalia; Primates; Cercopithecidae. The record is from RNAcentral.